GCUAGCGUUGCUCGGAAUCACUGGGCGUAAAGGGUGCGUAGGCGGGUCUUUUAGUCUGGGGUGAAAUCCUGGAGCUCAACUCCAGAACUGCCUUUGAUACUGAAGAUCUUGAGUUCGGGAGAGGUGAGUGGAACUGCGAGUGUAGAGGUGAAAUUCGUAGAUAUUCGCAAGAACACCAGUGGCGAAGGCGGCUCACUGGCCCGGUACUGACGCUGAGGUGCGAAAGCGUGGGGAGCAAACAGG
RNAcentral lists this ribosomal RNA (243 nucleotides) under uncultured bacterium. Its description in RNAcentral is "partial 16S ribosomal RNA". It matches the Rfam family "Bacterial small subunit ribosomal RNA", at positions 534 to 776 of the family's 1533-position model. The record is from RNAcentral.